CGCAGCCUGAUCCAGCAUGCCGCGUGUGUGAAGAAGGCCUUCGGGUUGUAAAGCACUUUUAUCAGGAACGAAAAACCAUUGGUUAAUACCCGGUGGGGCUGACGGUACCUGAGGAAUAAGCACCGGCUAACUUCGUGCCAGCAGCCGCGGUAAUACGAAGGGUGCAAGCGUUAAUCGGAAUUACUGGGCGUAAAGGGUGCGUAGGCGGUUUGUUAAGUCUGUUGUGAAAUCCCCGGGCUCAACCUGGGAAUGGCAAUGGAUACUGGCAAGCUAGAGUGUGUCAGAGGAUGGUGGAAUUCCCGGUGUAGCGGUGAAAUGCGUAGAGAUCGGGAGGAACAUCAGUGGCGAAGGCGGCCAUCUGGGACAACACUGACGCUGAAGCACGAAAGCGUGGGGAGCAAACAGGAUUAGAUACCCUGGUAGUCCACGCCCUAAACGAUGCGAACUGGAUGUUGGUCUCAACUCGGAGAUCAGUGUCGAAGCUAACGCGUUAAGUUCGCCGCCUGGGGAGUACGGUCGCAAGACUGAAACUCAAAGGAAAUUGACGG
Molecule: ribosomal RNA, 548 nt
Filed under: uncultured Gammaproteobacteria bacterium
Lineage: Bacteria; Pseudomonadati; Pseudomonadota; Gammaproteobacteria
Description: bacterial SSU rRNA
Rfam family: Bacterial small subunit ribosomal RNA
Source: RNAcentral